UAAAUUAAAUGGCCGCAGUAUUUUGACUGUGCUAAGGUAGCAUAAUCAUUAGUUUUUUAAUUGAAAGCUGGAAUGAAGGGCUGGAUGAAAAAAAGACUAUUUUUAUUUAAUUAUAAUAACUUUAUUUUUAAGUUAAAAAGCUUAAAUUAUAUUAAAAGACGAGAAGACCCUAUAGAGUUUUAUAUAAAUUAAUUUUAAUAAUAUUAGUAUUAAAUUUUUUAUUUUUAAUUUGUAUUUAAUUGGGGUGAUUAAAAAAUUUACUUAACUUUUUUUUUAUUUAAAUAUAAAUAAAUAGUUUUUUGAUCCAAUAUUUUUGAUUAUAAGAUUAAAUUACCUUAGGGAUAACAGCGUAAUUUUAUUAGAGAGUUCAAAUCGAUAAUAAAGAUUGCGACCUCGAUGUUGGAUUAAAAUUUAUAAUUGGUGUAGAAGCUAAUUAAUUA
RNAcentral lists this ribosomal RNA (440 nucleotides) under Ophraella cribrata. RNAcentral's name for it is "16S ribosomal RNA, large subunit". The record is from RNAcentral. Lineage: Eukaryota; Metazoa; Arthropoda; Insecta; Coleoptera; Chrysomelidae.